UCCCUCUUAGCUCAGUGGUAGAGCGCGUCACUAGUAUACAGUACGACACAUUGUGUAUGUAAUGACGAGGUCAGUCGUUCAAGUCGGCUAGAGGGAA
Molecule: non-coding RNA, 97 nt
Organism: Lyophyllum atratum
Lineage: Eukaryota; Fungi; Basidiomycota; Agaricomycetes; Agaricales; Lyophyllaceae
Source: the annotation of a GenBank genome assembly